GAUGAACGCUGGCGGCGUGCUUAACACAUGCCAGUCGAACGAAGCACUUAAGAUUGAUUCUUCGGAUGACGUCUUUUGUGACUUAGUGGCGGACGGGUGAGUAACGCGUGGGUAACCUGCCUCACACAGGGGGAUAACAGUUAGAAAUGACUGCUAAUACCGCAUAACCCGAUAGGAUCGCAUGAUCCAGACGGAAAAGAUUUAUCGGUGUGAGAUGGAACCGCGUCUGAUUAGCUAGUUGGUGAGGUAACGGCCCACCAAGGCGACGAUCAGUAGCCGGGCUGAGAGGGUGAACGGCCACAUUGGGACUGAGACACGGCCCAAACUCCUACGGGAGGCAGCAGUGGGGAAUAUUGCACAAUGGGGGAAACCCUAAUGCAGCGACGCCGCGUGAGUGAAGAAGUAUUUCGGUAUGUAGAGCUCUAUCAGCAGGGAAGAAAAUGACGGUACCUGACUAAGAAGCCCCGGCUAACUAAGUG
RNAcentral lists this ribosomal RNA (479 nucleotides) under uncultured bacterium. RNAcentral's name for it is "partial 16S ribosomal RNA". It matches the Rfam family "Bacterial small subunit ribosomal RNA", at positions 28 to 507 of the family's 1533-position model. The record is from RNAcentral.